CCAAUAGCGUAUAUUAAAGUUGUUGCAGUUAAAAAGCUCGUAGUUGAACUUCGGGGUUUACCCAUUGGUCAGGCUUAAUUGUCUGUACUGGUGAGAUGAAUCUCUACCUUUUGAGGAACUUUCAUGCCAUUUAUUUGGUGGGAUGGGAAAUCAGGACUGUUACUUUGAAAAAAUUAGAGUGUUUAAUGCAGGCUAACGUCUGAAUACAUUAGCAUGGAAUAAUGAAAUAGGACGGACUGAUUCUAUUUCGUUGGUUUCUAGGAUCACCGUAAUGAUUAAUAGGGAUAGUUGGGGGCAUUAGUAUUCAAUUGUCAGAGGUGAAAUUCUUGGAUUUAUUGAAGACUAACUACUGCGAAAGCAUUUGCCAAGGAUGUUUUCAUUAAUCAAGAACGAAAGUUAGGAGAUCGAAGACGAUCAGAUACCGUCGUAGUCUUAACCAUAAACUAUGCCGACUAGGGAUCGGACGAAGUUAAUUUUAUAAUGACGCGUUCGGCACCUUACG
RNAcentral lists this ribosomal RNA (502 nucleotides) under uncultured Glomeromycotina. RNAcentral describes it as "partial small subunit ribosomal RNA". It matches the Rfam family "Eukaryotic small subunit ribosomal RNA", at positions 591 to 1092 of the family's 1831-position model. Lineage: Eukaryota; Fungi; Glomeromycota. The record is from RNAcentral.